GACGAACCGUGCAAACGUUGUUCGGAAUCACUGGGCUUAAAGGGCGCGUAGGCGGUGUGUUAAGUCGGCGGUGAAAUGCUCCAGCUCAACUGGAGAAUUGCCGUCGAAACUAGCACGCUAGAGGGGGGUAGAGGUGCGUGGAACUUCCGGUGGAGCGGUGAAAUGCGUUGAUAUCGGAAGGAACGCCUGUGGCGAAAGCGACGCACUGGACCUUUUCUGACGCUGAGGCGCGAAAGCUAGGGUAGCGAACGGG
Molecule: unclassified non-coding RNA, 253 nt
Filed under: uncultured Planctomycetia bacterium
Lineage: Bacteria; Pseudomonadati; Planctomycetota; Planctomycetia
Description: contains 16S-23S intergenic spacer region
Rfam family: Bacterial small subunit ribosomal RNA
Source: RNAcentral